Long non-coding RNA from Ipomoea triloba (trilobed morning glory), 1097 nucleotides. RefSeq lists it as uncharacterized. The record is from RefSeq and is a predicted model, not a curated record. The transcript is spliced from 5 exons. NCBI's taxonomy places the organism in Eukaryota, Viridiplantae, Streptophyta, Magnoliopsida, Solanales, Convolvulaceae.
UCCACUCUUCCACUUCCACAGUUCCACAGCCGAUAACCAUUUUCCACAACAAUUUCUUUUCUCUCAAAAUGAGAGUUCACCGCCAAAGCUUUUUCUCUCUUUCAAGACAACCCUUCUCUCUCUUCUUUUUCUCUUCCAGAGCGAAGGACGGCGAUGACCGGCAUGAGACCACAGAUCUACGAGAAUCAUCUACCGGCAAGUGCGAGACCAUCUACCGGCAUGGGACCAUGGAUCUAGAAGAACCAUCAGUGGCAAAAGCGAGAACAAGUGCAAAGAAGGCAUUUCUGCUAGACUCUACAAAUCUCAGCUCCAUAGAUUUGCGAGAAUCACCAUCUGCGACCAUCUACCAGCGAUGACCUGCGACAAUGGUUUCGCAUCUCUGUUUUUUCCAUUCUGGAGACCUUAAUUAGGUAUUCCAGUUGCUUGAAAUGAUGAUUUUAUGGCACUCAUUUGCACUGCUAACAUUAGGAAGAAGAAAUAGAAUGUUUUGAUUUUAAAAUCAUUGCAGGUGAUUAAGUGAUGGGCUUUGGAAUGUCUUGGCAAAUAAGGUUAGCACCUUUCGAGCCUUCUAUUGAUUGGUCUACUGCUCUAGGGGAUUGUAGAUAUCUAAUGGAGUGAUAAAUUGAAUGAUAAUGAUAAACUGCAUGGUGUCUAUUUACAAAAGAUUGGAUGCUGCAUUUGUUGCCAAUGUCUCUUUGUCAUUGUCUUCAGAGCAUUCUAUUAACUGUACCAGCUGCAGGAAGAUCAUUGGAGCAGUCUCAACAUGUCAAUUCAUUUGCAAAUCUUGACUGCACACUUCCUCCUAUGGUCCAAUGAAAUGUUGGUGGCAGUAUGCAAAUACUACGUAAUAGUUUGGAGAGAUGUAAUUGAAAUGUUGGUGGCAGUAUGCAAAUACUACGUAAUAGUUUGGAGAGAUGUAAUAGUUUGGAGAUUGAAUCAUAAGUUAAAUUCCAGAAUUUCAGAUUUUGACUUUUAAAUUUCUACUUUAUAUUCAUGAAUGAUUUCUCUUGAAGCCUAUGAAAUGUGUAUAUGGUUUUCUUUUUUCAUUUCACUGCAGAGACAGAGAUUAUCUGUAGUGAAAUGAAUUUUUUUUUAUU